RNAcentral lists this ribosomal RNA (379 nucleotides) under uncultured bacterium. RNAcentral's name for it is "bacterial SSU rRNA". It matches the Rfam family "Bacterial small subunit ribosomal RNA", at positions 521 to 896 of the family's 1533-position model. The record is from RNAcentral.
UAACACGUAGGGGGCGAGCGUUGUCCGGAUUUAUUGGGCGUAAAGAGCUCGUAGGCGGCUCGGUAAGUCAACUGUGAAAGCUCCGGGCUCAACUCGGAGAGGCCAGUUGAUACUGCUGUGGCUAGAGUCCGGUAGGGGAGCGUGGAAUUCCUGGUGUAGCGGUGAAAUGCGCAGAUAUCAGGAGGAACACCAGCGGCGAAGGCGGCGCUCUGGGCCGGAACUGACGCUGAGGAGCGAAAGCGUGGGUAGCAAACAGGAUUAGAUACCCUGGUAGUCCACGCCGUAAACGUUGGGCACUAGGUGUGGGUCUCAACCAACGAGAUCCGUGCCGUAGCUAACGCACUAAGUGCCCCGCCUGGGGAGUACGGCCGCAAGGCUA